This is a long non-coding RNA of Ficedula albicollis (Collared flycatcher), 354 nucleotides long. RefSeq lists it as uncharacterized. The transcript has 3 exons. The record is from RefSeq and is a predicted model, not a curated record. NCBI's taxonomy places the organism in Eukaryota, Metazoa, Chordata, Aves, Passeriformes, Muscicapidae.
UUUUUGACAUUUUGACAUUGCUGUUAUCUUUUCUUUCCAGGUACCCCAAAAACAGGUGGUGGCUGAAUUCAGAGCAACCCCAGCAAAGUAAGAUACAUGACACUGGGCACCCCCAGCUACUUUUCAGCCAUCCAUGGGAGCAGAGAAGACCGAGCUGGACCACAACGAGGAGCAGCAGGAGACGGCAGGGCAUCAUCACCCUCGGAGCCAGGGAUGCCGGAGUCAGAGCAUCCUGAAGAAUGGACGUUCACCAGUGAUCAGGUGCAGACUACAAAUAGCCUUCCAUGUCAUGUCAUAUAUGCACUGAACAAUGCUAUUGCAAUGCAUAUGCCCAAAGGGGCACAUCUAAAAUGA